GAUGAACGCUAGCUACAGGCUUAACACAUGCAAGUCGAGGGGAAACGAUAGAGAAAGCUUGCUUUUUCUAGGCGUCGACCGGCGCACGGGUGAGUAACGCGUAUCCAACCUGCCCACCACUUGGGGAUAACCUUGCGAAAGUAAGACUAAUACCCAAUGACGUCUCUAGAAGACAUCUGAAAGAGAUUAAAGAUUUAUCGGUAGACGAUGGGGAUGCGUUCCAUUAGAUAGUAGGCGGGGUAACGGCCCACCUAGUCUUCGAUGGAUAGGGGUUCUGAGAGGAAGGUCCCCCACAUUGGAACUGAGACACGGUCCAAACUCCUACGGGAGGCAGCAGUGAGGAAUAUUGGUCAAUGGGCGAGAGCCUGAACCAGCCAAGUAGCGUGAAGGAUGACUGCCCUAUGGGUUGUAAACUUCUUUUAUAAAGGAAUAAAGUCGGGUAUGGAUACCCGUUUGCAUGUACUUUAUGAAUAAGGAUCGGCUAACUCCGUG
This 492-nucleotide ribosomal RNA is filed under the name uncultured bacterium. RNAcentral's name for it is "bacterial SSU rRNA". It matches the Rfam family "Bacterial small subunit ribosomal RNA", at positions 28 to 507 of the family's 1533-position model. The record is from RNAcentral.